This is a long non-coding RNA of Glycine soja, 172 nucleotides long. RefSeq lists it as uncharacterized. Lineage: Eukaryota; Viridiplantae; Streptophyta; Magnoliopsida; Fabales; Fabaceae. The transcript is spliced from 3 exons. The record is from RefSeq and is a predicted model, not a curated record.
AUCACGGUCUUUUUGUGGAAAUGCCUGGAAGGGACCCUUCAGAUAGGAACUACCUUUCUUCUGUAUUGAUACAAGAACUCUUUGUUACUUUGGAUCAUGAAGAUUUGUCUCUAAGAGCAAAGGCAGCAAGAAUCUUGGUAGUGCUCUUGUGCAAACAUGAGUUUGAUGUGAG